CCUACGGGUGGCAGCAGUGGGGAAUAUUGCACAAUGGGGGGAACCCUGAUGCAGCGACGCCGCGUGAGUGAAGAAGUAUUUCGGUAUGUAAAGCUCUAUCAGCAGGGAAGAAAAUGACGGUACCUGACUAAGAAGCCCCGGCUAACUACGUUCCAGCAGCCGCGGUAAGACGUAGGGGGAAAGCGUUAUCCGGAUUUACUGGGUGUAAAGGGAGCGCAGACGGCAGUGCAACUCUGGAGUGAAAGGCGGGGGCCCAACCCCCAGACUGCGCUGGAAACUGGAAAGCUGGAGUGCAGGAGAGGUAAGCGGAAUUCCUAGUGUAGCGGUGAAAGGCGUAGAUAUUAGGAGGAACACCAGUGGCGAAGGCGGCUUACUGGACUGCAACUGACGUUGAGGCUCGAAAGCGUGGGGAGCAAACAGGAUUAGAUACCCCUGUAGUC
RNAcentral lists this ribosomal RNA (440 nucleotides) under uncultured bacterium. RNAcentral describes it as "partial 16S ribosomal RNA". It matches the Rfam family "Bacterial small subunit ribosomal RNA", at positions 338 to 795 of the family's 1533-position model. The record is from RNAcentral.